GAUUAGCUAGUUGGUAGGGUAAAGGCCUACCAAGGCGAUGAUCGUUAACUGGUCUGAGAGGAUGAUCAGUCACACUGGAACUGAGACACGGUCCAGACUCCUACGGGAGGCAGCAGUGGGGAAUAUUGGACAAUGGGGGCAACCCUGAUCCAGCAAUGCCGCGUGUGUGAAGAAGGCCUUCGGGUUGUAAAGCACUUUUGGCGGGGAAGAAGAUAUGGUGUUUAAGAGAUGUCAUAUUUGACGGUACCCGCAGAAUAAGCACCGGCUAACUCUGUGCCAGCAGCCGCGGUAAUACAGAGGGUGCAAGCGUUAAUCGGAGUUACUGGGCGUAAAGGGCGCGUAGGCGGUUAUGUAAGUGAGAUGUGAAAUCCCUGGGCUUAACCUAGGAACUGCAUCUCAUACUGUAUAGCUAGAGUAUUGUAGAGGGUAGUGGAAUUUCCGGUGUAGCGGUGAAAUGCGUAGAGAUCGGAAGGAACACCAGUGGCGAAAGGCGGCUACCUGGACAAAUACUGACGCUGAUGCGCGAAAGCGUGGGGAGCAAACAGGAUUAGAUACCCUGGUAGUCCACGCUGUAAACGAUGAAAACUAGAUGUUGGGCAGCAUGACUGUUUAGUAUCGAAGCUAACGCGAUAAGUUUCCGCCUGGGGGAGUAC
This 653-nucleotide ribosomal RNA is filed under the name uncultured bacterium. RNAcentral's name for it is "bacterial SSU rRNA". It matches the Rfam family "Bacterial small subunit ribosomal RNA", at positions 239 to 883 of the family's 1533-position model. The record is from RNAcentral.